AUUAUGAGUUUUUCUGUUGGCGAUCAUCAGGUGAAGUGUGUAUUCUGAAGAGUUUACAAUGUGAUUAUCAGCCAAACUGCCCACAGGGGGAGGACGAGGAUGGCUGCGGUCCCUGCACAUUUGAACGUGACCAAUGCCGCUGGACUGAGAGUGGAGACGGGCCGAGCAGGUGGCACAGACAGAAAGCCAGUAACAAUACUAAACCACCCACUGAUCACACCGCAGGCGCAGGCUACUACAUGAGCGUGAUUU
Thalassophryne amazonica is the source of this 252-nucleotide long non-coding RNA. RefSeq lists it as uncharacterized. The transcript has 3 exons. The record is from RefSeq and is a predicted model, not a curated record. Lineage: Eukaryota; Metazoa; Chordata; Actinopteri; Batrachoidiformes; Batrachoididae.